UGAGAAACAUGACCUUCGGCGGGGGAUAGCCGGCCCAACGGCCGGGUAAUACCGCGUACGACCACAUGGGGACAUCCCUGAGUGGUGAAAGCAGCAAUGCGCCGAUGGAGUGCCUCGCGGCCUAUCAGCUAGUUUGGGUGGGGUAACGGCUCACCAAGGCGACGACGGGUAGCUGGUCUGAGAGGAUGGCCAGCCACAUUGGGACUGAGACACGGCCCAGACUCCUAGGGAGG
RNAcentral lists this ribosomal RNA (233 nucleotides) under uncultured bacterium. RNAcentral's name for it is "partial 16S ribosomal RNA". It matches the Rfam family "Bacterial small subunit ribosomal RNA", at positions 118 to 348 of the family's 1533-position model. The record is from RNAcentral.